Pleuronectes platessa (European plaice) is the source of this 625-nucleotide long non-coding RNA. RefSeq lists it as uncharacterized. The record is from RefSeq and is a predicted model, not a curated record. The transcript is spliced from 3 exons. Lineage: Eukaryota; Metazoa; Chordata; Actinopteri; Pleuronectiformes; Pleuronectidae.
AAAAAUCCGCCUAACGAAUAGCUUCAUUUUACAUCCACGCAUCAGCAACAAUAACAUCCUCCUUCCAUGGAUAUGAUACUUGUCUCAUGUCAAGGUUAUUGAAGUCUGCUAGUCUUCAGUGAUUUGCAGAGCAUUGAACUCUCUCGGGCCAACGUAUGUUUUCCGGAAUUAAAUUAGCUGAUUGGGUGCUGGCUGGUCCCUUUGUAAUCAAGCUGAAUGAUGAAAGACUCAUCACAUACCACCCACCAGAAUCAUUGUCUGACAGACCCACUUGAGUCGCUGGGUCUCCCCAUGCUCACUAAUUCAAAGUCGUCCGUGUGUCAUUGACUCCCUGAUGGACUACUCUGCUACGUGACGGACAUCAGGAAAACUCCAAAAAGCAGCCGUCCUCUGUCAGAGGGCUGAGGGGGGGGGGGGUUAAGGAGUGGGAGGAUGCGAGGAUGCUAGGCGGCGAGGAGGAGGAGGAGGAGGAGGAGGAGGUGGGUGAUGCAUCCUGUAGGUCUGGGAUGACUGUGUGUGACUGACGUUCUUGAUUCAUCAUCCAACAACCUCAUGGGCAGCAAGGAUAUAUAAGCUGGAUCACACCUGCUCAACAAGAACCACUGGAGACCUCCGCCACCUAACC